AUGGAUAGUGUGGACGUACCAGGAGAGGACUUCAUCCCUCUGACUGUUCUGCGCACCACAAUACCUCCUCACACCCCUGCCAGCUACCGAACUACUAUUCCUGGUUACACUGGAAAAGCCCGGUUUGACAGACCACAGACCUCAGGUGUCAGUCUGCCUUCUUUACCAUAUACUCCACAAACAGCAGGGAGCUGUUCUGGUACCUGGAGCACCCUUGACUACGGACACAAGGCUCCUCUGUCAGGAAUGAUCACUACUGUCCCACCGGGAAACCCUUACCUUCAUCCCAAAGCCCCGGUACUUUCCAUGAAAAAACUCUAAAAGCACAGCAUGUUCCUUAUAAAGAGAAGAAUAAAUGAUGAAGAAGUGUG
RNAcentral lists this long non-coding RNA (371 nucleotides) under Sinocyclocheilus anshuiensis. RNAcentral describes it as "lncRNA (ENSSANG00000052353.1)". The record is from RNAcentral. Lineage: Eukaryota; Metazoa; Chordata; Actinopteri; Cypriniformes; Cyprinidae.